CUGACGGACGCGUCCGGGUCAAUUGCGGACUGCAACACCCGAUCUCCCUUCCGGUGCCGCCGUCGAUGGCGGUUUCGGAGGGGGAGCGCGUCACCAUCAG
RNAcentral lists this non-coding RNA (100 nucleotides) under unclassified sequences. RNAcentral describes it as "L4-Archaeoglobi ribosomal protein leader". It matches the Rfam family "L4-Archaeoglobi ribosomal protein leades". The record is from RNAcentral.